This 2708-nucleotide long non-coding RNA is filed under the name Homo sapiens (human). Its description in RNAcentral is "HSALNT0301966". Lineage: Eukaryota; Metazoa; Chordata; Mammalia; Primates; Hominidae. The record is from RNAcentral.
AGAAAAAUCAGGAUUCCAUGGGUAGGUUAACUAGUGAAUGAGAAUAUGGAAAUGAAAAUACAGGAAAAAGAGAAGCGUGUAGCUUACUAGUUGAUGGAAACAAAGGUACAAAACAUGUAGGAUAGUGGGUUUUAAACAUUUUGAUUAUUAUGUUAACAAUUAGGACUAACACCUCAAUGGAACACUGAGUUCCCAUAGCACUGUUUGAAAACAUCUUAGUGUAUGUCUAUACAUUUAGUAAAUCUUCCUCCCUGGCAGAGGAAGAAUUACCACCUAGAGAAAAGCACUAAACUGGCAAAAACAGAGCCCAGUCUUCGAACUUGCAGGCCAAUUUCCUUUGCAUAUACCAUGCUACCUAAUGAUCGAGAUACUCUAGAGUAAUUCUGAAUCCUGACCUCUAGAGUUGAGAGCAAUCAGUGGACAAGUAAGACAUGGCACUAUGGUGCAAAGAACCCCCACUUCAUCACAUACAAAAUUCAUCACAUUGGGCAACACACAAUAAUGGGACUUGAAGUAAGCUAACAAUACGUUAUCUUCUUCAGAGAGAGUUAAAAUUUAAUUUGAAUUAAGUAGAAAAUUAGAGACAGUGCAAAAGCAUUCAAAAUUAGCAUUUGCUUAUCUUAAACAACUCUUAAAAUUAAGUAAUUUUGUUAGUUCAGCUAUUUUAAAAUAUCAAUAAUCCAGCUAAAAGUUUUACUAGCUGUUAGCAGACAAAAACUAAGGGAGCUUUAAAAAAACACUGUCUGCUUUUAUAAUUAUUAUCCAUUACUGAAAUCUUCUAGAGGAGAGAUGAGGGCUGGAGAGUAGGCUGCGUUUAGGAAAUAUUACAGAGGCAGAAAUGAGGAUUUCAGGGCAGCUACAUGCAGCACCUGAAGAUCCCCUGAGGCAGCCUGUCUAAGUUGACUGCUAUUUAGAGUGCAGCCCAGAGAGUUUCAGAUUUCAGGUUGCUACCCAUCCAUGGGAUAGGAAACCAAUUCAACGGGUCACAACCAGUAUUUUAAAAUGAAAAAGACUAGAAAAUAGGAAAAAUAAAUCACAAAUACUAAGGGACAAGGUGUUUUGAGAAACAUUUGGUUCAGUUGUACAUACGUACAUGUAAUGUUUAUAUGUGUUUCUUACAGUGAGAAACCAUCAGCAAAGUUUGAAAAACAUGUAUAGACAUUAACUUAAGUAGAAAUGAAGGGUGGAAAGAUAAGGAGUCUAAUUAAAUUGAAAUUUCUCUUUGAGAUGCCAGGGAGACAUUCAAGUGGAUUUAUUUUCCCUUUUAUACUGGAUGCCAAGUGCAGAAAAUGGAGUUAAUUCUCUUCCUUGGUUCAUAGCACAUAAUCAUUACUGUCCUUGGGAGAAUUUUUAAGUUAUGUUUCAUUUCUAAUUGGCAAAUAAUAAUUGAAUAAUUUUAUGAGACAAUAUGUGAUGUUUUGAUGUAUUGUUGUGGAUACAUUGUCAAUAUGCUGUGCAAUGAAACACCAGAAUUUAUUCCUUCUAACUGAAACUUUAUACCAAUUGACCAUUUCCCCCUUCCCCAUCCACUUACCUACCCCACAACCUCUGGUAACCACAAUUCUAUUUUCUAUUUCCAAGAGUUUGACUUUUUUAGACUCCACUUAGAAGUGAGAUCAUACAGUAUUUGUUUCUCUGUGCUUGACUUAUUUCACUUAACAUAAAUGUUAAGUGCAAAUGACAUAUUUUCCUGUUUCUUUUAAGGCUGAAUAGUAUUCCAUUAUGUAUAUCUUGCCACUUUUAAAAAAAUCCAUUGAUUUUUAUCUAAUGAUAGACACAGGUUGUUGCCAUGAAUUGGCUAUUGUGAAUAGUGCUGCAAUGAACUUGGGAGUAUCGACAUCACUUCAACAUACUGAUUUGAAUUCUUUUGGGUAUAUAUUUUGUAGCGGAAUUGUUGGAUCACAUGGUAAUUCUAUUUUUUGUUAUUUAAUAAAGAUUCAUGCUGUUUCCCAAAAUGGCUGCACUAAAUUACAAUACCACCAAGAGGGCAUAACUGUGCCCAUUUCUCAGCAUCAUCACCAACACUAGCCAUCUUUCAUCUUUUUGAUAAUUGCCAAACUAACAGGUGUGAGGUGAUAUAUCUUUGUGACUUUAAUUUGCUUUCUCUGAUGAUUAGAGAUGUUGAACAUUUUCAUAUAACUAUUGGCAAUUUGUGUGUCUUCUUUUAAGAAAUGUCUAUUUGAGUUCUUUGCCCGUUUUUAAUAGGAUUGUUUUGGAUUAGUUUGAGUUUCUUGUAUAUUUUGUAAAAGAGCCCAUUAUCUGAUGUAUAAUUUUUAUACUUUUCUUAAUCUGUGCAUUUUCUCUUGACACAAUUGUGUCCUUUUGUGCAGAAGCUUUUUAGUUUGAUGGAAUCAUGUUUGUCUAUUUAUGCUUUUGUUUCCUGUGCUUUUGGGAUUACACACAAGAAAUUAUUGUCCAGACCAAUACCAUGGAGAUUUCCCCCUGUGCUUUCUUCUAGUAUCUGUAGUAUAGAUUCAGGAAUUGCAUUUAAAUAUUUAAUCCAUUUUCCUUCUGUACAUGUAUAUCUGGUUUUCCCAACACCAUUUUUAAAGACACUGUGCAUUGUAUAUUAUUGGCACCUUUGUCAAAAAUCAAUUGACUCUGAUGUCUGGGUUUAUUUCCAGGCUAUCCAUCCUAUUCCACUGGUCAAUGUGUCUGUCUGUUUUUAUGCCAGUACCAUAAUGUUUUGAUUACUAUAGCUUCAUAAU